RNAcentral lists this long non-coding RNA (694 nucleotides) under Olea europaea (common olive). RNAcentral's name for it is "long non-coding RNA (OEUR_LNC012959)". Lineage: Eukaryota; Viridiplantae; Streptophyta; Magnoliopsida; Lamiales; Oleaceae. The record is from RNAcentral.
UUGCUUAAUAAUGAAAUAAAAGUCCUGAUACAGCUGAGGGAAAGCUAAUUUUUUUUUUUUUUGAAAAGUCAUAAUCCUACAACGUAAAGUCAUAUUAAUAGUUAAAUACUAUUACAGAUUAAACUUUUCUGGAAGUUACUAUUACUGUCAUCCCAUCUUAUAAUAUACUUGUUUACGUGGAAGAAUGCCGGACAUGGACAUCUUAUCAAUGUCCGAUGGAGACGAAAAGGAUCUGCCAGUGGAUUUCAUACAUCUUCUUCUCCCUUAUAUCUCAUGCGGUACGCAAAAUGAACGCGAAUGGCCACUAAAUGGGGUAGUAGAUUUCACUUUGCCAAUCAAGAAAGAUACAAGCAUGUGUUUAGCUCCCAUUUCUUUAAACUCAUUUCCAAUCUUACGUUUCAUAGAAUCCGCAAGUUUUAUUAACUUUUCAACUACAAAUUUCUUCAAUUUUUAUUAAAUUCUACUAAAAGUUUGAUCUUAGCUAAACCAAACAGGGGCUAUGGCGCUAUGCCUUUCUAUUUUAUAUCCGAAAGGAGCUCAGUACUGUAUAAUCCAACAUAUGAGACACAGCGUCAUCGGAGGAUGCAAAGUCAUUACAGAAUUAAAAUAGUCAAGAUCUUUAUUCCCUCCUUGUCACCUUAAACUGAAGCACCAAAUUCAUUUUACACAAAAAGAAUAUCUGAAGAGUAGAUUU